This 394-nucleotide ribosomal RNA is filed under the name Pantoea agglomerans. RNAcentral's name for it is "bacterial SSU rRNA". It matches the Rfam family "Bacterial small subunit ribosomal RNA", at positions 57 to 449 of the family's 1533-position model. Lineage: Bacteria; Pseudomonadati; Pseudomonadota; Gammaproteobacteria; Enterobacterales; Erwiniaceae. The record is from RNAcentral.
GCAAGUCGAACGGUAGCACAGAGAGCUUGCUCUCGGGUGACGAGUGGCGGACGGGUGAGUAAUGUCUGGGAAACUGCCUGAUGGAGGGGGAUAACUACUGGAAACGGUAGCUAAUACCGCAUAACGUCGCAAGACCAAAGAGGGGGACCUUCGGGCCUCUUGCCAUCAGAUGUGCCCAGAUGGGAUUAGCUAGUAGGUGGGGUAACGGCUCACCUAGGCGACGAUCCCUAGCUGGUCUGAGAGGAUGACCAGCCACACUGGAACUGAGACACGGUCCAGACUCCUACGGGAGGCAGCAGUGGGGAAUAUUGCACAAUGGGCGCAAGCCUGAUGCAGCCAUGCCGCGUGUGUGAAGAAGGCCUUCGGGUUGUAAAGCACUUUCAGCGGGGAGGAA